This 693-nucleotide long non-coding RNA is filed under the name Anas platyrhynchos platyrhynchos (common mallard). RNAcentral's name for it is "lncRNA (ENSAPLG00000022240.1)". The record is from RNAcentral. Lineage: Eukaryota; Metazoa; Chordata; Aves; Anseriformes; Anatidae.
CCCGAGACCAGAGCUCCCAGCUGAACUAUUGCUGUGCAUUAAGAGCUGUGUCAACAGCUUUCUGGGUUUUACACCAAGCCCACCACAGGUGUCUGCUUCACGAAGCUUCAUAGGGAUAACAAGGCCUGAGACACCUGGAGAGGAUUGUUCUGGGAUGGAGCAGUGGAGCUCUGGGAAUCCCAGGGCUGUACCUACCCCAAAACCUCAUCCACAAAUACCUCAUCCACGUGUUGAAGGCAGCAAGAAGGAUUGUCACACCAACGUUGUUGCUCUUUGUGGGACAGCCACAGCAUCGUAGUGACCAGAGAGCCUCCUGGAAGCCAGCAGGAGAGGGAGCAGUGGGUGUGAUGUGAAGGAGUGCUGGAGAGCAGCCCUGUCAUGCUGAGCUCUCAGGAUAUGUUUGGGUAAUCCUAAAAGACUGCUUGGAGAAGCAGAAAGACACAGGGAGAAGAAGAAAGCAGGAGGCUGGCACAGCCGGCUCUGGAAAUGAUCAGAGGUAAAAAGCUCUCACAGAGGAAAAGCAGAUUCUUGAAGGGAGAGGAAUGUAGAAAAGUAAACUAGACAUGGUGAGGAGGAAAAAAAGAAAUGUGCUCUGUGAUGUCAGUUUUGGAAGACUCUAGGUUUUGUUUGUACUUGCGGGCUUUCAAAACUUGCUUUGCUGUCUCUCUGCGGCAAGGGAUUUGCUGAAGUGAC